UGAAGAUUCCAGAGGAUUUCAACACAGCAUAAUCAACGCAGCAAAAGAGCAGCAGCAGCUGACCCAGGGACAUCACUGGAGUGGGGAGCAAGUUUUAUGCACCUCCUGUCUGCCCCCUCCCUACAAAACAUCUACACAGGACUGAACAGAAAGGACGAUCGAUAAACACUUAACUGAUUUGUGGAGGAGAAAUAGUCCAAAGAGUUUCCCCAGAUCUCCUUGAAAACACCACACCUAUCAAUGACGGAAAACCACAGCCAGGUAUGAAUAAAAGGCUCAGCACACAACUCUGAUCCAUGGUCUAUUCCACAGGCUAUUGGGGUGGCCUCCAUUUGAAUCAGGACCUGGACAGAGAGGUUGCUUCCUUUACCGGGGGCAGUUGUGGACCACAGCUGCUCAGAAAUUGGGGAUAAAGUCAAAGCUCUUGCUCCAGGGGCCAUCUGGACCCUCUGCUAUUAGUGAAGUAGCUCAUCUUAGAGCCUAACGCUAAAGUUUCACAGUUAUUACAACACCCCUGCAUUGUCACAAACACCCUAGAGGCCAGCAGGGCUGUGCCUGAACUUUCCAUUUCGAAAAGUGCUAAGCCCCAGGUCAUGGUAUUGGAUGACUCUUGCCCUCCAACCUGAGUGUUCUACUUGUAACCGUUUGUCCAGUAUUGUUCCAGUUUUGACACCAAGAGCCUCAUGUCCUGGAAACCCCUCCAGUCCUGGGCAAAUCAGGGUGAUUCAUUAUUCUAGUUCCAACUUAUAUCCUCUGGCCCACCCUUUAUUUUAGCCCAGAAAUUCUGGAGAUAUGGUCGCCUGACCAGCAGCAUUGGCAAAAUAGGCACCUGAGGCUGGGCACAUCCUGAUGGAGUGGCUCUUGAGCUAGGAAAUCCACAAUGCAACACAGGCCUGAUUCAAGGACUUGAUCUCCGCAACCCCCUGCGGUUUGUGAAUAAUGUGAUUUUCUUAGGAAAAAAAGUCACUCUUACAUUUUCUUUGCGACUCCAUGAACAUUAUAUAUGUGGAACACCUCU
RNAcentral lists this long non-coding RNA (1018 nucleotides) under Homo sapiens (human). Its description in RNAcentral is "HSALNT0061268". Lineage: Eukaryota; Metazoa; Chordata; Mammalia; Primates; Hominidae. The record is from RNAcentral.